UUUGCAGUCUUAGAUAGUAUAUACUUGAUGGAGCAACUUUAAAUUUCUUAUGGACUCAAAUGCUUCAUAAUCGACCAACAUAUAUGUCAGUGUCAUUCAGCACCAGGUUUGAGAAGUAGCACGGUUUUUCCUUACAAUUCUCGACAGGAAAUAUUGGCAUGGAGGACUUUACCUUUUGUUUCCAUUGUUUUGUUGGCAUAGCAAUGCAAUUGUAAUGAAUUGACACCAUUGUUAGGUUUCAUGUAUGUCGUGUUGUCUGACUCUACCGCCU
This 271-nucleotide unclassified non-coding RNA is filed under the name Hevea brasiliensis (rubber tree). Lineage: Eukaryota; Viridiplantae; Streptophyta; Magnoliopsida; Malpighiales; Euphorbiaceae. The record is from RNAcentral.